AGUAUUGAAGUAAUAAUUACACUCGAUUUCGACUCGAAAAUAGGGAAAUAUCCCCUUACUU
RNAcentral lists this transfer RNA (61 nucleotides) under Embiophila sp. RNAcentral's name for it is "tRNA-Arg". Lineage: Eukaryota; Metazoa; Arthropoda; Insecta; Hemiptera; Plokiophilidae. The record is from RNAcentral.